Molecule: small nucleolar RNA, 76 nt
Filed under: Chlamydomonas reinhardtii
Lineage: Eukaryota; Viridiplantae; Chlorophyta; Chlorophyceae; Chlamydomonadales; Chlamydomonadaceae
Description: CrCD02a snoRNA
Source: RNAcentral
AGAGUCGUUGAGGAUAUCUCACUUUGCGGUUAUGAGCCUGAACAACAUUGACGACGCUUAAAGUGUCUGAGACUCU